RNAcentral lists this ribosomal RNA (621 nucleotides) under uncultured bacterium. Its description in RNAcentral is "bacterial SSU rRNA". It matches the Rfam family "Bacterial small subunit ribosomal RNA", at positions 338 to 956 of the family's 1533-position model. The record is from RNAcentral.
CCUACGGGAGGCAGCAGUGGGGAAUAUUGGACAAUGGGCGCAAGCCUGAUCCAGCCAUACCGCGUGGGUGAAGAAGGCCUUCGGGUUGUAAAGCCCUUUUGUUGGGAAAGAAAUCCAGCCGGCUAAUACCUGGUUGGGAUGACGGUACCCAAAGAAUAAGCACCGGCUAACUUCGUGCCAGCAGCCGCGGUAAUACGAAGGGUGCAAGCGUUACUCGGAAUUACUGGGCGUAAAGCGUGCGUAGGUGGUUAUUUAAGUCCGUUGUGAAAGCCCUGGGCUCAACCUGGGAACUGCAGUGGAUACUGGAUGACUAGAAUGUGGUAGAGGGUAGCGGAAUUCCUGGUGUAGCAGUGAAAUGCGUAGAGAUCAGGAGGAACAUCCAUGGCGAAGGCAGCUACCUGGACCAACAUUGACACUGAGGCACGAAAGCGUGGGGAGCAAACAGGAUUAGAUACCCUGGUAGUCCACGCCCUAAACGAUGCGAACUGGAUGUUGGGUGCAAUUUGGCACGCAGUAUCGAAGCUAACGCGUUAAGUUCGCCGCCUGGGGAGUACGGUCGCAAGACUUGAAACUUAAAGGAAUUGACGGCUUGAGACGNGCGAGACGACGACGAGGAGGAGG